AUGGCAUCAAUAAUACUGUCAGUGUUUGGUGCCUACCCAUUGGAUGGAUUCCAAGCUGGGGUGGUCACUGGACAGCUUUUCCUUCAGUCUCUGCUCCUUUUUCCCUGUACUUCUUUUAGACAGGAACAAUUCUGGGUCAGAAAUUAUGAUGUUUGUGCCUGGAGGCGGUACUGGGAGCAGGUGCUUGCCUUUCUGUGGCCUUGGUUUGAGCUGAUCCUGGAGAUGAAUGUCCAGAGUGUCUGCAGCACUGACCCCCAGCGCCUUGGGGGACUGGACACUCGGCCCCACUAUAUCACAGGCCGCUAUGCUGAGUUCUCCUCUGCACUUGUCAGCAUCAACCAGAGGAUCCCCAAUGAACGCACACUGCAGCUGCUGGGACAGCUCCAGGUGGAGGUGGAAGUGGAGAAUUUUGUCCUCCGAGUGGAUGCAGAGUUCUCAAGGAAGGAGCAGCUUAUGUUUCUGAUCAACAACUAUGACAUGAUGCUAGGGGUGCUGAUGGAGCGGGCUGCUGAUGACAGCAGAGGUGGCGAGUUUCCAGCAGCUGCUUAAUGCUCUGUCACAGGAGUUCAUUGAGGAGUUGCUGUCUCCCCCCCUUCGGGAGUCUGGUGGCAUUUGUGAAGGUGGCUGAAGCCUUCAGUGAGUGUGGGCAGGCUGAGCGGCUCCGAGGAGAGGAAGCCCGAGUCACUCAGCUAAUCCGUGACUUUGGUAGAUCCUGUAAGGCAUCAGUGGAGUCCCUGAGUCAGGAUGUAAUUCGGAGUUUUACCAAAUUCUGAAAUGGAACCAGCAUCAUCCAGGGGGAGCUGACACAGCUGAUCCAGCUCUACCAUCGCUUCCAUCAGGUGCUGUCCCAGUCCCAGCACCAGCUCCAUGCACUCCCAGCCAGGACUGAGCUCAUCAACAUUCAUCACCUCAUGGUAGAGCUGAAGAAACACAAGCCCAACUUCUGAUUCAG
This is an RNA transcript of Mus pahari (shrew mouse), 952 nucleotides long. It is a transcript of the gene named vacuolar protein sorting-associated protein 52 homolog pseudogene, with no coding region annotated. Lineage: Eukaryota; Metazoa; Chordata; Mammalia; Rodentia; Muridae. The record is from RefSeq and is a predicted model, not a curated record. The transcript has 2 exons.